AGUGAUUACAUUAAAAUAUUAUUUUAAUAUAUAAACUCUUUGUCAUAGUGGUUUUAGAGUAGCGUUUGUUUAAUAUUACGUUUAUAUAAAUUAAAAAACGAGAAUUCUGUAUACAUAUUGUUUAUUUUUAAGUAUAUAAGAUACACAUUUAUAUUUUCAUCUUGUUAUAUCUCCUUAUAAACGUGAAGGAAGCGACACAAUUUUUUUUAACGAUUAUAUUUUUAUAAGUGUAUCUUACAAUAAAAUCAACAUCAAAAAUAAGCAGAAUUUAGAGGGAUAGAAAAAAAAAAAAAUUAAAUUAAAUUAAGUUCUUCUCGAAAACUAAGCACCUCGAGGAAGAAUCAAAGCAUUACCUAUAUAAAAGGAUAUAUUUUUUGCAUUAUAAUAUUUAUCUAUUUGUUUUAUCUGUUUGCGUAAUUGUUAAUCCCACUUUGUGCAUUAUUUUUUAUUUUUUUAUCUUAUGUGAUUAUCGUACAAAAUAACAAAAAAAAAAAAAAAAAGGAGCAUAUAUAAAUGUCGAAAUAAUAAUUUAGUUUGUUAUUAAAAAUAUUAUUUAUGUAUCUUAUAAAAAAUGAUAUAUAUAUAUAUAUGUAUAUAUAUAUAUAUAUAUUUAUAAAAAGCCUGAAUCGUAAAAAAUUUGACAUUAAGUUAAGCAAAAUUUUUGUGCUUGUUUUUUAACAAAAUUAUGACAAAUUGGGGGGUUUCAAUUUCACAC
Long non-coding RNA from Piliocolobus tephrosceles (Ugandan red Colobus), 715 nucleotides. RefSeq lists it as uncharacterized. The transcript is spliced from 2 exons. Lineage: Eukaryota; Metazoa; Chordata; Mammalia; Primates; Cercopithecidae. The record is from RefSeq and is a predicted model, not a curated record.